UUUGGUGUCUCGAGACUCAUCAGGCUCAGGU
RNAcentral lists this non-coding RNA (31 nucleotides) under Mus musculus (house mouse). Lineage: Eukaryota; Metazoa; Chordata; Mammalia; Rodentia; Muridae. The record is from RNAcentral.